Non-coding RNA from Peromyscus maniculatus bairdii (prairie deer mouse), 430 nucleotides. NCBI's taxonomy places the organism in Eukaryota, Metazoa, Chordata, Mammalia, Rodentia, Cricetidae. The record is from RefSeq and is a predicted model, not a curated record.
CACUCGGGAGGCAGAGCCAGGCGGAUCUCUGUGAGUUCGAGGCCAGCCUGGACUACCAAAUUUUGGUUCAGAACGUUCCUUCUUCAGCUAGACAUAGUGGCACAUUUGGGAGGUGGAGGCAGAAGGAUCAGGAGGAGUACAAGACCAUCCCCAGCUACAUGACUUUCAGAUAAGAUACAAAACUCUCAGCUACUGCUCCAGCACCAUGCCUGCCUGGCUGCUGCCAUGCUCUCUGCCAUGGUGAUCACGAACUCACUCUGUGUAACCUCAAAGGUUCCUCCCUCCCGUCUGGAAAAGAGUCCACCUGCACCUGGUGGGACGUGAUUGCAGCCUUCAGACUUUAAGAACCCUAUCCUCGCUUCCCUACCAAGAGUUUUUCUGAGGCACUUGCCUGCUCUUAAUCAGCAGCUAAUAAAAGACCCAGUAUACU